AUUAGCACAGAAGAGCUUGCUCUCGGGUGACGAGUGGCGGACGGGUGAGUAAUGUCUGGGAAACUGCCUGAUGGAGGGGGAUAACUACUGGAAACGGUAGCUAAUACCGCAUAACGUCNCAAGACCAAAGAGGGGGACCUUCGGGCCUCUUGCCAUCAGAUGUGCCCAGAUGGGAUUAGCUAGUAGGUGGGGUAACGGCUCACCUAGGCAACGAUCCCUAGCUGGUCUGAGAGAAUGACCAGCCACACUGGAACUGAUACACGGUCCUUACUCCUACGGGAGGCAGCAGUGGGGAAUAUUGCACAAUAGGGCGCACCCU
This 319-nucleotide ribosomal RNA is filed under the name Enterobacter cloacae. RNAcentral describes it as "bacterial SSU rRNA". It matches the Rfam family "Bacterial small subunit ribosomal RNA", at positions 71 to 384 of the family's 1533-position model. Lineage: Bacteria; Pseudomonadati; Pseudomonadota; Gammaproteobacteria; Enterobacterales; Enterobacteriaceae. The record is from RNAcentral.